CUACGGGCGGCUGCAGUGGGGAAUAUUGCGCAAUGGGCGAAAGCCUGACGCAGCAACGCCGUGUGAGGGAUGAAGGCUUUCGGGUUGUAAACCUCUGUCGGAAGGGAAGAACGGGCAUUGGUCUAAUAGGCCUUUGUUUUGACGGUACCUUUAGAGGAAGCACCGGCUAACUCCGUGCCAGCAGCCGCGGUAAUACGGAGGGUGCAAGCGUUAUUCGGAAUUACUGGGCGUAAAGCGCACGUAGGCCGUUUUGUAAGUCAGGGGUGAAAUCCCACGGCUCAACCGGGGAACUGCCUUUGAAACUGCAGGACUUGAAUCCUGGAGAGGGUGGCGGAAUUCCUGGUGUAGGAGUGAAAUCCGUAGAUAUCAGGAGGAACACCGGUGGCGAAGGCGGCCACCUGGACAGGUAUUGACGCUGAGGUGCGAAAGUGUGGGGAGCAAACAGGAUUAGAUACCCCUGUAGUC
RNAcentral lists this ribosomal RNA (465 nucleotides) under uncultured bacterium. Its description in RNAcentral is "partial 16S ribosomal RNA". It matches the Rfam family "Bacterial small subunit ribosomal RNA", at positions 339 to 795 of the family's 1533-position model. The record is from RNAcentral.